This 1497-nucleotide ribosomal RNA is filed under the name uncultured bacterium. RNAcentral's name for it is "bacterial SSU rRNA". It matches the Rfam family "Bacterial small subunit ribosomal RNA". The record is from RNAcentral.
AGAGUUUGAUCCUGGCUCAGGACGAACGUUGGCGGCGUGCUUAACACAUGCAAGUCGAGCGGUUCUCGGAGUUUACUUCGAGGAUAGCGGCGGACGGGGGUCUCGUGUGAGUAACACGUGGAUAAUCUGCCUGUAAGACAGGGAUAACGCCGUGAAACCGGUGCUAAUACCCGAUAAACUCUUUGGAUCGCAUGAUAUGAUAGCUUAACAAUGCUACCACUUACAGAUGAAUCCGCGUCCCAUUAGCCAGUUGGUGGGGUAAAGGCCUACCAAAGCGACGAUGGGUAGCCGGCCUGAGAGGGUGACCGGCCACACUGGAACUGAGAUACGGUCCAGACUCCUACGGGAGGCAGCAGUGGGGAAUCUUCCGCAAUGGGCGAAAGCCUGACGGAGCAACGCCGCGUGAGCGAAGAAGGUUUUCGGAUUGUAAAGCUCUUUGAUAUUGGUGGGAAAAAGUGACGGUACCAGAGGAGGAAGCCACGGCUAACUACGUGCCAGCAGCCGCGGUAAUACGUAGGUGGCGAGCGUUGUCCGGAAUUACUGGGCGUAAAGGGCGCGUAGGCGGCUCUUUAAGUCAGAUGUGAAAACCCAGGGCUUAACUUCGGGAGUGCAUUUGAAACUGAAGGGCUCGAGUGCAGGAGAGGUAAGUGGAAUUCCUAGUGUAGCGGUGAAAUGCGUAGAUAUUAGGAGGAACACCGGUGGCGAAGGCGGCUAUCUGGACCGAUACUGACGCUGAGACACGAAAGCGUGGGUAGCAAACAGGAUUAGAUACCCUGGUAGUCCACGCUGUAAACGAUGAAAGCUAGGUGUUGCGGGUAUUGACCCCUGCAGUGCCGCAGCUAACGCAUUAAGUUCUCCGCCUGGGAAGUACGGUCGCAAGACUGAAACUCAAAGGAAUUGACGGGGGCCCGCACAAGCGGUGGAGUAUGUGGUUUAAUUCGACGCAACGCGCAGAACCUUACCAAGGCUUGACAUCCCGUGACAGCUAUAGAAAUAUGGUCUUCUUAGUUUACUAAGACACGGACACAGGUGGUGCAUGGUUGUCGUCAGCUCGUGUCGUGAGAUGUUGGGUUAAGUCCCGCAACGAGCGCAACCCUUGUUGCUAGUUACCAGCACACGUUAUGGUGGGAACUCUAGCGAGACUGCCGGUGACAAACCGGAGGAAGGUGGGGAUGACGUCAAAUCAUCACGCCCCUUACGACCAGGGCCACACACGUACUACAAUGCCCGGUACAGCGAGUUGCAAAGCCGCGAGGCAGAGCUAAUCUCUUAAAACCGGGCCAAGUUCGGAUCGGAGGCUGCAAUUCGCCUCCGUGAAGCUGGAAUCGCUAGUAAUCGCAGGUCAGCAUACUGCGGUGAAUACGUUCCCGGGCCUUGUACACACCGCCCGUCACACCAUGGGAGCUAGUAACACCCGAAGCCGGUGAGGUAACCCGUAAGGGAGCUAGCCGUCGAAGGUGGGGCCAAUAAUUGGGGUGAAGUCGUAACAAGGUAACC